This is a long non-coding RNA of Homo sapiens (human), 1923 nucleotides long. The record is from Ensembl. NCBI's taxonomy places the organism in Eukaryota, Metazoa, Chordata, Mammalia, Primates, Hominidae.
CAGAGUGCUACGGGGAGUUGUCUUAGUUUAGGUUUCCCCCAAGGAGACUCCCAGACAAAGACCUGAGUGCAGGUAGUUUAUUGGGAGCAGAUCCCGGGAAGCACACACAGGGGGAGGGGAAGUGAGGCAGGGAAGGGAGAAGGGCCCAUACACGAUAUGCUAACGAGCAGGGUGCCACUGCGGCUCACUCCAGUUGACCUGCAGACCGUGUAGAACAUGCCUCAUGGUUGUUCACAGCAGCGCGGGGAGGCUGGACAUUCAGCCAUCGAUUCCUACCCCCUACUGAUGGACAGAUUCCCUGAGAGCCAGAAUUUCCCUCACUUUUGAGUUGUGUCCCGGUGUGGUGCAGAAAGCCCAAGGCUGAAAAGAAGAGAGCUUCAGGCCUUGGAUGGGAGGUGUCAUGGUGCCUGGAACUGCAUCUGCAGGUGAGCAGAGGAGAUUCUGGGCAGGCCGUCACUCUCACAUCUGCUACAGGAGGGCAGCAGAGGGGACAUUGCCUUUGAUGAGGCGGGCAGGAGCCAUACUUCUGCUGGAGUUCAUAGACUGAACUGGGUGUGAACCCAGAGAAACUGGGUGGGCUGAGUGGGAUUUUGAGAGGGGCUGGAGACUUUGCAUUAUAUACUUGGAGGCAACUUACAUCCCCACUUGGGCUCACAAAGCUGGCAAGAACUGGGGAAAUGGAGAUGACUUCCCCUUCUAGUCAAAGAGAUUUCUCUAAUUGCAAGUCCAAAGUCUCUUCUUGUCUCUGAAAGAGUUUUCUGUCUGAAGUCUUUCUGGGUGAGGGAGGCUUAGCUGAACUACAUGAUAAAGUGCUGAGGGAGGGGAAAAGGGAAAGGGGAGGAAAGAAAAUCCAUGCAGGCAGGAGUUGCUGCAGAGCCUCAGGGGAGGCAUUAUCUACAAACAACUGGAUGUGAGGAAAAUGGAUGAGCUGGCUUUCAUGGGGUUCUGCAGAGUGACUCUGUAGGAUACACCUGCUGACUCACCUGGCCCAGGUAUUUUUCCCUCUUCGGCUUCCAUCUGCCUCUAGGGGAGGAAGGUGAUAGUCAAGACUGAGACAAGGUAUCAGGGUCAGUGCCCGCCAGCCAUGCUCCCUGUCUAUGGAGAAAGACCCAAGAAAAAGAUUUUGGCAUGGGAUGAAUGGGGUGACUUAGAUUGUUGUAGAAGAGCAAAUUGGAGCAGGGAAGAGAGGAGGAAGAGGAAGAAGAUGUGUUUGAGGAAUGCACAGGACAUCCAUGUAGAGAAACCUGUGGACAGUUGGCUCCAUGCAUCAGAACUUCAGGGUCCUGUUCUCUACGAGUGAAUAUCCUAAUGACCAUAAUAAAGCCAGUUCCCUUUUUGGGGACUGACAUUUGUUGAGAACUCCCCCUAUGAAUGCUGUCUUGCUGCAAAACUUCACCUCUGGAUAAAGUGGCUGUGCUCCUUCUGGAUGUCUGCAUCAGGGCUGCUGAGGCACAGCUGAGAAUGCACCACACAGCUGACUACGCUGCUGAGCAAAUCUCAUUACUAAAUGCACAUCCCUUUCAAGGAUGCCAGGCGUUAGGGCUGCAUUGCAACUUUGAUGGACACUGGGGAUUAAUGCCUGUGUGUCCUUGUUCCAUUAAAAAGUUUGAAGUUUGCUGGGUGCGGUGGCUCACACCUGUAAUCCCAGCACUUCGGGAGGCCAAGGCGGGCAGGUUACGAGGUCAGGAGAUCGAGACCAUCUUGACCAACACGGUAAAACCCUGUUUCUACUAAAAUACAAAGAAGUAGCCAGGCGUGGUGGUGGGUGGCUGUAGUCCCAGCUACUCGGGAGGCUGAGGCAGAAGAAUGGCUUGAACCUGGGAGGAGGAGGUUGCAGUUAGCCGAGAUGGAGCCACUGCACUCCAGCCUGGCAACACAGCAAGACUCUGUCUCAAAAAAAAAAAAAAAAAAAAGAAAGAAAAA